This 304-nucleotide signal recognition particle RNA is filed under the name Pongo abelii (Sumatran orangutan). RNAcentral describes it as "Metazoan signal recognition particle RNA (ENSPPYG00000040961.1)". It matches the Rfam family "Metazoan signal recognition particle RNA". From Rfam's summary of the family: The signal recognition particle (SRP) is a universally conserved ribonucleoprotein. It is involved in the co-translational targeting of proteins to membranes. The record is from Rfam by way of RNAcentral. Lineage: Eukaryota; Metazoa; Chordata; Mammalia; Primates; Hominidae.
GCCAGGCAUGGUGGCUCACACCUACCGUCCCAGCUACUCAGGGGGCUGAGGUGGGAGGAUCACUUGAGCCCAGGAGUUCUGGGCUGCAGUGUACUAUGCAGGCAGAUCAGGUGUCUGCACUAAGUUUGGCAUCAAUAUGGUGAUAUCCUGGGAGUGGGGAACCACCAGGUUGCCUAAGGAGGGGUAAACUGACUUAGGUUGGAAAUGGAGCAGGACAAAACUCCUGUGCUGAUCGGUAAUGAGAUCACAUCUGUGAAUAGCCACUGUACCCCAGCCUGGGCAACAAGGCAAGACCCCAUCUUUU